Molecule: ribosomal RNA, 1390 nt
Filed under: Cellulosimicrobium cellulans
Lineage: Bacteria; Bacillati; Actinomycetota; Actinomycetes; Micrococcales; Promicromonosporaceae
Description: bacterial SSU rRNA
Rfam family: Bacterial small subunit ribosomal RNA
Source: RNAcentral
GCUUACCAUGCAAGUCGAACGGUGAAGCAGAGCUUGCUCUGUGGAUCAGUGGCGAACGGGUGAGUAACACGUGAGCAAUCUGCCCCUGACUCUGGGAUAAGCGCUGGAAACGGCGUCUAAUACCGGAUACGAGCUGCGACCGCAUGGUCAGUAGCUGGAAAGAAUUUCGGUCAGGGAUGAGCUCGCGGCCUAUCAGCUUGUUGGUGAGGUAAUGGCUCACCAAGGCGUCGACGGGUAGCCGGCCUGAGAGGGUGACCGGCCACACUGGGACUGAGACACGGCCCAGACUCCUACGGGAGGCAGCAGUGGGGAAUAUUGCACAAUGGGCGAAAGCCUGAUGCAGCAACGCCGCGUGAGGGAUGACGGCCUUCGGGUUGUAAACCUCUUUUAGCAGGGAAGAAGCGAAAGUGACGGUACCUGCAGAAAAAGCGCCGGCUAACUACGUGCCAGCAGCCGCGGUAAUACGUAGGGCGCAAGCGUUAUCCGGAAUUAUUGGGCGUAAAGAGCUCGUAGGCGGUCUGUCGCGUCUGCUGUGAAAACCCGAGGCUCAACCUCGGGCCUGCAGUGGGUACGGGCAGACUAGAGUGCGGUAGGGGAGAUUGGAAUUCCUGGUGUAGCGGUGGAAUGCGCAGAUAUCAGGAGGAACACCGAUGGCGAAGGCAGAUCUCUGGGCCGUAACUGACGCUGAGGAGCGAAAGGGUGGGGAGCAAACAGGCUUAGAUACCCUGGUAGUCCACCCCGUAAACGUUGGGAACUAGUUGUGGGGUCCAUUCCACGGAUUCCGUGACGCAGCUAACGCAUUAAGUUCCCCGCCUGGGGAGUACGGCCGCAAGGCUAAAACUCAAAGGAAUUGACGGGGACCCGCACAAGCGGCGGAGCAUGCGGAUUAAUUCGAUGCAACGCGAAGAACCUUACCAAGGCUUGACAUAUAGAGGAAACGUCUGGAAACAGUCGCCCCGCAAGGUCUCUAUACAGGUGGUGCAUGGUUGUCGUCAGCUCGUGUCGUGAGAUGUUGGGUUAAGUCCCGCAACGAGCGCAACCCUCGUUCUAUGUUGCCAGCACGUAAUGGUGGGAACUCAUGGGAUACUGCCGGGGUCAACUCGGAGGAAGGUGGGGAUGACGUCAAAUCAUCAUGCCCCUUAUGUCUUGGGCUUCACGCAUGCUACAAUGGCCGGUACAAAGGGCUGCAAUACCGUGAGGUGGAGCGAAUCCCAAAAAGCCGGUCCCAGUUCGGAUUGAGGUCUGCAACUCGACCUCAUGAAGUCGGAGUCGCUAGUAAUCGCAGAUCAGCAACGCUGCGGUGAAUACGUUCCCGGGUCUUGUACACACCGCCCGUCAAGUCAUGAAAGUCGGUAACACCUGAAGCCGGUGGCCCAACCCUUGUGGAUGG